GGGGAAUAUUGGACAAUGGGGGCAACCCUGAUCCAGCCAUGCCGCGUGUGUGAAGAAGGCCUUCGGGUUGUAAAGCACUUUUGUCCGGAAAGAAAAGCUUCGGGUUAAUACCCCGGGGUCAUGACGGUACCGGAAGAAUAAGCACCGGCUAACUUCGUGCCAGCAGCCGCGGUAAUACGAAGGGUGCAAGCGUUACUCGGAAUUACUGGGCGUAAAGCGUGCGUAGGUGGUUUGUUAAGUCUGAUGUGAAAGCCCUGGGCUCAACCUGGGAACGGCAUUGGAUACUGGCAGUCUAGAGUGCGGUAGAGGGGUGUGGAAUUCCCGGUGUAGCAGUGAAAUGCGUAGAUAUCGGGAGGAACAUCUGUGGCGAAGGCGACACCCUGGACCAGCACUGACACUGAGGCACGAAAGCGUGGGGAGCAA
This 423-nucleotide ribosomal RNA is filed under the name uncultured bacterium. RNAcentral describes it as "bacterial SSU rRNA". It matches the Rfam family "Bacterial small subunit ribosomal RNA", at positions 356 to 771 of the family's 1533-position model. The record is from RNAcentral.